UAUUCUUAUUGCAAAUGUUGCACUUCACCAUGACCCUCAACAAUGGGGAGAUGAUGUGCAUCUUUUUAAGCCAGAGAGAUUCGCCGAAGGGGUUGCCAAAGCUACCAAUUACAACACAGCUGCAUUUUGUCCCUUUGGAUUGGGACCUCGAACUUGUGUUGGUACAACCUUCGCACUCAUGGAAGCGAAGAUUGCAGUCUCCAUGAUUCUACAACGCUACACCAUUUCCCUCUCCCCUGCCUAUGUCCACGCGCCAGUAUCUAUUAUCACCGUUAAACCACAACAUGGAAUUCAAGUAAUACUCGAGUCACUGCAUCACGAUGCUUAAACUACACGGCAGCUAAGGGCUCAGCGUUCAACUCAGUUAGCUCAUGUAUUCUCAUUUUAAGAGAUGACAUUUCAUAGAUCGGGGGCGUUUGCAUUAGCAGCCACUUCCCUAUUUAUGCGCUCCUUCGUGCAUAAAUAACUGCAAAUAUCUGCUCAUUUCCAAGAUGGUAAAGCAUGCACAAUUUAUCAUUUUAAUAAUUUAUAUUUUUAAUUUUUAAAUAAUUAAAUUAAAAUUUUAUUAUUUUUUAAUGUUCAAGUUCGAACCUAAUUUAUAUUUUAAAUGAGACUAAUUUUUUUACCUAAACUCAUUUUUCGAGCUUAAUAUUUUUACUCAAAAUAUAAAUAGAUGAUAAUCAUUUAAUUUAUGAGUAAAUAUAUAUAUUAAAAAUGUAUUAAUAAUAGAAGUAAUUAAUAAAAAUCUACUUAAUCUUUCAAAAAGCCUCUCAAAAUCAACUAUUUGACCAAUAUACUUCUUUAAUUUAAUCAUUUUUUUUAUACUUUUUGUGUUUUAAAAUAGUAAAUUUAUUAACAAAAAUAACAUUGUUUCUUUUAAUGUUAUAUAAAAAUAACAAGUUAAUGUUAUAUUUCGCACGAAAAUUUGGAAAUUUUAUUUUUAACUUAAUUUGUGAUUAUUGUUUUUGCAGCAAUUGUUGACUAAUUUGCAUUUGUGAUGACGCAUGGUAGAUGGCUCCCAAUAAAAUAUUCAUAAAUAUAAAAAAAUCGAGUUUUAUUAAGAUAAUUUUAAUUGAUAAAUUAUGUGUAAAAUAUUAUUUUUAGCCGAAGUGGGUGGUAUGCCAACUCAUUUUAGGGACCACAUGUUAAAAAUUCAUAAUUUUUAAAUAAACUGAUUUUGGAGUUGUGGAGAUGUGCGCUUUCGCCACAUGACCCCACCAUCCCAAAAAUCUAUUAUUUUUAAAUUUUUUAAUGUUCAUAAAAUCAAGAUGAUGAUUGGAUUAUCAAAACAUAUAUAUAUACAAUUUAAUUGCAAGAGCACAGAGUGUUAUUGGACAACACUUAGAAGAGGUGAGAUUCUUGCACGUGUCCUGUAUACUCGGUGGGACUAAAUUGGAGCCCACGCUUAUUAGUGCUUUGCUAGAAAGAUAGAGACCCGAGACACACACAUUUCAUUUUCUGUGCGAUGGUGAUAUGAUUACACUCGAGGAUGUGAUAUUAGAACUUGGUCUAUUGGUUGAUGGGCCAAUAAUUUAGAGAAAAUACCAAACAUAUUUAGUAAUUUAGGGAAAUUUUAAUAGCUUCACAUUCUUCAGCCUAUAAAUAGUGGAUUCAUGUCAUGGGUUGCAGGUCAAAGCUCAUGAUGAAUGCACACAAAGCGUUUCAUGGAGGUCACCAAUUUUGGUUGACACUAGAAAUGAAAAGAAAAUGUAUAUUUUUAUAAAAGAAUACUAGGUGGCAUUUUUUGAUUGGCCACCAAUUUUUUUUAAUGUUAAAAAUUAGAUUAAAAUUUAUAACGGAUAAUACUUUAAGUACUAAAUUAAGUUAAAAAAACUUUAAGUACCAAUAUUACUGGUGAAUUAGACAAAAAUUAGUGAUGAGAAUGGAGGUUUAGAGAGAAAUAAUGCUUCAUUAUUUUAUUCAUUCCCAAUAAGCAUGGAUAUGUAAUCAGUACAUAAGUUAAAGAAACCGCAAAUGCCAAAAUCACUCAACACGUAUAGCCUCCUAGUUCAGCUGAUGCCGACGCUUUUAAGGUCAACAAGGAAAACAAUUUGGCAAGUACGGUACAUUUCAGCAGGAAAGUUGCACACGUUUCUUAUACACACUUAUGAACUAUUGUAUGGCGUAAUAGACUGUGAUGUUUUGGCUUUAUAACAUUAAAAUGUCUCACGAAUACGUCCAACCUACUUUGAACGAGAACGAGGAUUGCAAAUGCAAUUUUGCUCCUUCACCACUUUUGGAGUGCUCCUAAUGAUGCUAUUAUGAAUGGGAAAAUGGUUAAAGUUUAGAGACGAAAAAUGAGUGCCUUGAUGGAGCUUGUAACUCUUGUCCCAUGUUGUUUCUUCUUCAUAGCUUUAAUAAAGUUCCUUUAUGAUUACCUAUGGAUACCUCUCCGUAUACAGCAUAUGCUGAAUUCACAGGGGAUCAAAGGACCUCCUUACAGAUUCAUCCAUGGCAACAACAAGGAAAUCGCCAAAAUGAGACAAGAAGCAUCAAUCAAACCUAUGGCCUUGACGCAUGAUAUAUUUCCCAAAGUGCAGCCACAGAUUUACUCCUGGAUCAACAAAUACGGUAAUAUCCAUGCAUGUUUUUCACUAUGGUUUCAAUCUUCUAGUUCAAUUAAAAGAUGGACCCUUUUUUUGCUUUUUGUUUGAUUAGGGAGGAAUUAUCUUUUUUGGAACGGUGUUCGAGCUGAACUUGUGAUUUCAGAACCUGAACUAGUCAGAGAGAUACUAAAAAAUAGUGAAAAAACUUUCCCGAAAAGGAAGCCUACCAUUUACCUUAGCAAGCUACUAGGGAAGGGGCUUGUGACGGUUGAGGGUGAAAAAUGGGCGAAGCAGAGGAAGCUGGCGAAUUACGCUUUUCAUGGGGAAAGCUUAAAGGUGAACCCCUCGAAACAUGUGAUUAGUUGUAAACUAAUGUUAAAGAAUUUUAUAUUGUUGGAGAAUUGCUUUUGCAGAACAUGACACCAGCUGUAAUUGCUAGCGUUGAAACAAUGCUAGAGAAAUGGAAAGGCCAAGAAGGCAAAGAGAUUGAAGUGUUCCAUGAAUUUAGAUUAUUGACUUCAGAAGUGAUAUCAAGAACAGCUUUUGGUAGCAGUUACUUGGAAGGAGAGAAGGUUUUUGCCAUGUUGAACAAGCUGUCAAUAAUUAUGAGUCGAAAUCUUUAUAAUACUAGAAUUCCUUUGAUCAAGUAUGUUCCCUCUAAGCUUAAUUAAUCCCAAGUUUUUCCUUACUUGUGUUUUCCACCCCCAUGAAUUUAUUUUUCUCCUUAUAUAUGGCUAACAUUAGUUUUCUCUUCUAGCAAGUUAUGGAAACCUGCCGAUAUGCUAGAGUCUGAAGAACUUGCAAAAGAAAUACAAUAUUGUGUGAUGAAGAUGGUUAAGAAAAGAGAAGACAAAGUUGUGAAUGGAGAAGCUGAUAGCUUUGGGAAUGAUUUUCUAGGAUUACUUGUAAAUGCCUAUCAUGAUUCGGACAAAAAUAACAAGCUUUCAAUGGAAGAUCUGGUGGAUGAAUGCAAAACAUUCUAUUUUGCAGGACAAGAUACUGUUAAUGCCUUGCUUGCCUGGACAGUCUUGCUUUUAGCAAUCCAUGGAGAUUGGCAAGAUAAAGCAAGAAGGGAGGUGAUUGGCAUAUUUGGUAACCAAAAUCCACAACCGGAAGGCAUUGCAAAACUCAAAACUGUAAGCAAACUUUCUAACCAUUUAAGACCGCACGCAUUGUGUUACAGUCAAUAUCUUGUAGUUUCGACUCUUUCUACAUUGAUAUUCAUUGCUAAUAUUUACCACAAUUAAUUGCGAUAACAUCCAUCAUAUACAACACUGCCAUAAUUUAAAUCCCCGGUGUAUGCUAGCAUGAGUUUAGAACAUUAGAUUAUGUGAUGUUAAUCUUAUAUAUUCCUAUUCUCUAUACAGAUGACGAUGAUCAUUAAUGAAACUCUAAGAUUGUAUGGUCCAUCAAAUGGAAUGUUGAGAAGAGUUGGAAGAGAAGUUCAAAUGGAAAAGGUAGUCCUCCCUGCUAAUAUAGAUAUUCUAAUUGCAAAUGUUGCACUUCACCAUGACCCUCAACUGUGGGGAGAAGAUGUGCAUCUUUUUAAACCAGACAGAUUUGCGGAAGGGAUUGCCAAAGCUACCAAUUACAAUACGGCUGCAUUUUUUCCCUUUGGAUUGGGACCUCGAACUUGUGUUGGUAUGACCUUUGCAACCACAGAAACCAAGAUUGUUCUCUCCAUGAUCCUACAACGCUAUGCUAUUACCCUUUCCCCUGCCUAUGUCCAUUCACCAAUACCUAUAAUCAGCCUUAAACCACAACAUGGAAUU
This 4318-nucleotide long non-coding RNA is filed under the name Gossypium barbadense (sea-island cotton). RNAcentral's name for it is "long non-coding RNA (GBAR_LNC023206)". Lineage: Eukaryota; Viridiplantae; Streptophyta; Magnoliopsida; Malvales; Malvaceae. The record is from RNAcentral.